AUCGACUAAAUUGCGUGUGGGCUCGCUUGCCGCGCAGAAAACCUCUCUCUAAACUUGAGAUACCUUUGUAGCAUAGAUUCUUCAGUUGCACCUAUUGUGAGAAAUCCUCAGUCUGAAAUGACAACUCAAAAACCAGUGAAGAUCGGCAAGGCAUUUUGCAGAGGAAAAACCUGCAGUUUAAAGAGGCCACAUGGCCAGCUUUAGUCAUCAAGCCUGCAGACAAGAGAGGAAACACCCCGUGCUCUUCCUCAUCUUUGCCCCGGAUGGUUCUGAGACAUUCUGGGCGUGCCGUGCCAGAGUGAGAGUGACGCAGCAGCAGCAACCAGCUACUCAAGGCAAUUCCUGGUAAAGCCCGAGGUGUUGCCCCAGAAUGUCUGUCGGAAGAUGCCAUCUUAGGAAACAAUGACACAGCAGCGAAGCCUUGCUACAAUGGCUUCAGAGAUCCUGCCGUACAGAAUACUACAGCACACUGAGUGUGCAAGGGGCAGCAGGAGCAGCAGCUGUAAGAGGAUAGCUCAUCCACCAAGGGAGUCACUUCAUAAGACAGCAGGGCUGUCAGUGAAUCAGAAAUAGCUCUGUGGUCCAAGUCACAGCCUAACUGUAAGCCAUAUAAUAAACUUAUGGAUGCUGUGGAAA
Molecule: non-coding RNA, 636 nt
Organism: Rattus norvegicus (Norway rat)
Lineage: Eukaryota; Metazoa; Chordata; Mammalia; Rodentia; Muridae
Source: RefSeq, a predicted model, not a curated record